RNAcentral lists this ribosomal RNA (253 nucleotides) under uncultured bacterium. RNAcentral's name for it is "partial 16S ribosomal RNA". It matches the Rfam family "Bacterial small subunit ribosomal RNA", at positions 524 to 776 of the family's 1533-position model. The record is from RNAcentral.
UACGAAGGGUGCUAGCGUUGCUCGGAAUCACUGGGCGUAAAGGGUGCGUAGGCGGGUCUUUAAGUCAGGGGUGAAAUCCUGGAGCUCAACUCCGGAACUGCCUUUGAUACUGAAGAUCUUGAGUCCGGGAGAGGUGAGUGGAACUGCGAGUGUAGAGGUGAAAUUCGUAGAUAUUCGCAAGAACACCAGUGGCGAAGGCGGCUCACUGGCCCGGUACUGACGCUGAGGCACGAAAGCGUGGGGAGCAAACAGG